GACGAACCGUACAAACGUUAUUCGGAAUCACUGGGCUUAAAGGGUGCGUAGGCGGCACUGUAAGUUGGGUGUGAAAUCCCUCGGCUUAACCGAGGAACUGCGCCCAAAACUACAGUGCUUGAGGGAGAUAGAGGUGAGCGGAACUUAGGGUGGAGCGGUGAAAUGCGUUGAUAUCCUAAGGAACGCCAGGGGCGAAAGCGGCUCACUGGGUCUCUUCUGACGCUGAGGCACGAAAGCUAGGGUAGCGAACGGG
RNAcentral lists this ribosomal RNA (253 nucleotides) under uncultured bacterium. RNAcentral's name for it is "partial 16S ribosomal RNA". It matches the Rfam family "Bacterial small subunit ribosomal RNA", at positions 524 to 776 of the family's 1533-position model. The record is from RNAcentral.